RNAcentral lists this transfer RNA (96 nucleotides) under Thermomonospora cellulosilytica. RNAcentral's name for it is "Actinomadura cellulosilytica tRNA-Sec". It matches the Rfam family "Selenocysteine transfer RNA". Lineage: Bacteria; Bacillati; Actinomycetota; Actinomycetes; Streptosporangiales; Thermomonosporaceae. The record is from RNAcentral.
GGAGGCGUGCGAGCGCCUGGUGGGCUCCCCGGCCUUCAAAGCCGGCGGACCCGAGCAUCUCGGGUCGGCGGGUUCGAUUCCCGUACGCCUCCGCCA